GUUUGAUGGAAGCAAGAAACAAAAUCGACUCUUCAGUUUUGAAAUACACAGGAAGACUGGCUUCCGUCUUGUGGCACUCUCUUGUUUUCUUGCCUGCUGGCCGCAUCCAAACAACGAUCGUGUGUGAGCUACCCUAAAGAGAAUCACACGUGGUGAUGAACUGACAGAGGCCUCCAGCCAAUAGCCAAUGAGGAACUGAGGCCCUCAGUGCCACAGCCCAUGAGGAACCGAUCCUGCCCCCACCACUGAUUUCACUUCGAAGUGGAUCCUGACCCGUUGGAAUCUUGAGAUGAGCCCACAGCUGUGGCCGACACCUUGGUUGCAGUCUGUGAGAGGCCGUCAGCCACGCCUGGAUUCCUGCCCCACUGAAACUGUUGGGGGUGGACGGAAGAACAAAGGUGCAGAAGGAGGCGGGAAAAGACACAGACGCAAGCUGAGGCGGCCGUGUGAAAUACCACAGGAGUUCAGGAUAUGAAAUCAGGCUAGGGUCUCAGGUUCCCUUCACCCCGCCAUGUGGCCUCGAAGAUGGUGUUCAGCGCUGCUGGGUCCCUGUGUCUUCGUCUCUACCCUAGGCAUGGCACACUUUUCCUCUCUAUCGUGCAGCGAAGAGUAAAUCCAAAAGCACAUGGAAGGAGACUAGGACAGGGCCUUUGUUAUUUGUGCCAAACGCACCUUCACCGGGUGCCCCCCGCGCCAGGGCCACGGGCCAUGGCGCUGGGCACGAGCCCUACCCUCCGGCGUGGUGGCAGGCCAGCAGGCAGUAUACGUUGUCGCAGGUGCACACAUCGCAGGUGCAACAAGAGAGCAGGACUUUUCCUAGACUGGAGGUCAGAGAAGAAGGUAGGGUGAGAGCAUGUGCAGAGAUGCUGAGGCCAGACAGUGCCUGGAGGGUGCUGAAAUUGAAGGGCCCUCCGUUUGAACGUGCCAGAGGAAACGAGUGUCCCGGAAUGGCAGGAGCCAGCCCAGGCAGGGUCUCAGGCCAGCUGAGGCCAAUGGACUGAUUCCAGGGCCAUAGGGAGUCAUUAAAGGCAAUCAAUCAAGGGAUGGGGGCGGGCAGGCGUAGCUGAGGGCGCAAGAAACAUCUUACAACAUCUUGUGUUUUCUCAAAUUCUUUCCAUUUCCUUUGGGGCAGGAGGAGCUUAGUUCUGGAAACCGGGAAGCAGACCAAAGAGGGGACUGGAUAACUCAGGGGCAGAUGAGACAUCAGUUCAUAUUUCAAAGAUUUUUGCCUGUCACACUUGCUUUGGUGGAGAAGUGUCUCUUCUCUGUUACUCAUCCCACAGCUCUCCAGACUUCACCGCUGGCUCUUGGAAGUCCUGGGACACUUUCUGCUCACAUCACAGAACUUAGGCCCAAUGAUUACUUUAUGGUAACAAACCAUCAUUUUAUAGGGCCUGCCCUUUGCCCAAGCUCAUGCUAGGAGCUUACAAGAGUGUGGCCUUCCCAUAUCACAAACUUGGAUCUGAAUUCCAGGUCCACCUUGUCAAGGGGUCUGUGCUUGGGGCAACUUGGGUCUUCUCAGCUGUAAAAUGGGGUAUGAGCUGGUACCUCCCGGGGUUGUUGGAGGAUUGGGACGCUUCUCAGCAUUACCUUUUACUCACUAGGUCAGCAUCAAUACAUAGUAUAUGUUAGGGUAUUAGCUAGGACUCAUUCAUGCAUUCAUUGAUUCUCUCCACAAAUAUCAUCCCGGACAGCUGUGAUGUGUAAGCCAUGAUAGGCUGUCUUAGAAGUUAGGGAUACAAUGGUGAAUUUUCCUUCAGGAAUCUACAAUCUAGUGACAGUGUAACGAGGGUCAACAAAUGCUUUUUGGGAAAGGCCAGAUAGUAAAUAUUUUUGCUUUUGGGGGGCCCAAGAGACAAAAUGGAGUGAAACCCAUGUCGCCAACUUGAAAGGGUGCCUGUAGCCUUUUCAUAUUAGCUCCUUUCACUUAGUAAUAUGCAUUUAAGAUUCCUCCAUACCCUUUCAUGGCUUGCUAGCUUGUUUCUUUCUCGUGCUGAGUAAUAUUCAAUUGUCCGGAUGGACCACAGUUUCCACUUGCCUACUGAAGGACAUCUUGGUUGCCUUCAUGUUUUGGUAACCAUGAGUAAAGCUGUUAUAAACAUC
Molecule: long non-coding RNA, 2103 nt
Organism: Herpailurus yagouaroundi (jaguarundi)
Lineage: Eukaryota; Metazoa; Chordata; Mammalia; Carnivora; Felidae
Exons: 3
Source: RefSeq, a predicted model, not a curated record